RNAcentral lists this ribosomal RNA (484 nucleotides) under uncultured bacterium. RNAcentral describes it as "partial 16S ribosomal RNA". It matches the Rfam family "Bacterial small subunit ribosomal RNA", at positions 30 to 507 of the family's 1533-position model. The record is from RNAcentral.
AUUGAACGCUGGCGGCAGGCCUAACACAUGCAAGUCGAGCGGAUGAAGGGAGCUUGCUCCUGGAUUCAGCGGCGGACGGGUGAGUAAUGCCUAGGAAUCUGCCUGGUAGUGGGGGAUAACGUCCGGAAACGGGCGCUAAUACCGCAUACGUCCUGAGGGAGAAAGUGGGGGAUCUUCGGACCUCACGCUAUCAGAUGAGCCUAGGUCGGAUUAGCUGGUUGGUGGGGUAAAGGCCUACCAAGGCGACGAUCCGUAACUGGUCUGAGAGGAUGAUCAGUCACACUGGAACUGAGACACGGCCCAGACUCCUACGGGAGGCAGCAGUGGGGAAUAUUGGACAAUGGGCGAAAGCCUGAUCCAGCCAUGCCGCGUGUGUGAAGAAGGUCUUCGGAUUGUAAAGCACUUUAAGUUGGGAGGAAGGGCAGUAAGUUAAUACCUUGCUGUUUUGACGUUACCAACAGAAUAAGCACCGGCUAACUUCGUG